This 2923-nucleotide ribosomal RNA is filed under the name Klebsiella pneumoniae. RNAcentral's name for it is "bacterial LSU rRNA". It matches the Rfam family "Bacterial large subunit ribosomal RNA". Lineage: Bacteria; Pseudomonadati; Pseudomonadota; Gammaproteobacteria; Enterobacterales; Enterobacteriaceae. The record is from RNAcentral.
GGGUUGUGAGGUUAAGCGACUAAGCGUACACGGUGGAUGCCCUGGCAGUCAGAGGCGAUGAAGGACGUGCUAAUCUGCGAAAAGCGUCGGUAAGGUGAUAUGAACCGUUAUAACCGGCGAUGUCCGAAUGGGGAAACCCAGUGCAAUUCGUUGCACUAUCGUUAACUGAAUACAUAGGUUAACGAGGCGAACCGGGGGAACUGAAACAUCUAAGUACCCCGAGGAAAAGAAAUCAACCGAGAUUCCCCCAGUAGCGGCGAGCGAACGGGGAGCAGCCCAGAGUCUGAAUCAGCUUGUGUGUUAGUGGAACGGUCUGGAAAGUCCGACGGUACAGGGUGAUAGUCCCGUACACCAAAAUGCACAGGCUGUGAACUCGAAGAGUAGGGCGGGACACGUGGUAUCCUGUCUGAAUAUGGGGGGACCAUCCUCCAAGGCUAAAUACUCCUGACUGACCGAUAGUGAACCAGUACCGUGAGGGAAAGGCGAAAAGAACCCCGGCGAGGGGAGUGAAAAAGAACCUGAAACCGUGUACGUACAAGCAGUGGGAGCACCUUCGGGUGUGACUGCGUACCUUUUGUAUAAUGGGUCAGCGACUUAUAUUCUGUAGCAAGGUUAACCAUAUAGGGGAGCCGCAGGGAAACCGAGUCUUAACUGGGCGUUAAGUUGCAGGGUAUAGACCCGAAACCCGGUGAUCUAGCCAUGGGCAGGUUGAAGGUUGGGUAACACUAACUGGAGGACCGAACCGACUAAUGUUGAAAAAUUAGCGGAUGACUUGUGGCUGGGGGUGAAAGGCCAAUCAAACCGGGAGAUAGCUGGUUCUCCCCGAAAGCUAUUUAGGUAGCGCCUCGUGAAUUCAUCUUCGGGGGUAGAGCACUGUUUCGGCUAGGGGGUCAUCCCGACUUACCAACCCGAUGCAAACUACGAAUACCGAAGAAUGUUAUCACGGGAGACACACGGCGGGUGCUAACGUCCGUCGUGAAGAGGGAAACAACCCAGACCGCCAGCUAAGGUCCCAAAGUCAUGGUUAAGUGGGAAACGAUGUGGGAAGGCACAGACAGCCAGGAUGUUGGCUUAGAAGCAGCCAUCAUUUAAAGAAAGCGUAAUAGCUCACUGGUCGAGUCGGCCUGCGCGGAAGAUGUAACGGGGCUAAACCAUGCACCGAAGCUGCGGCAGCGACACUAUGUGUUGUUGGGUAGGGGAGCGUUCUGUAAGCCUGCGAAGGUGACCUGUGAGGGUUGCUGGAGGUAUCAGAAGUGCGAAUGCUGACAUAAGUAACGAUAAAGCGGGUGAAAAGCCCGCUCGCCGGAAGACCAAGGGUUCCUGUCCAACGUUAAUCGGGGCAGGGUGAGUCGACCCCUAAGGCGAGGCCGAAAGGCGUAGUCGAUGGGAAACAGGUUAAUAUUCCUGUACUUGGUGUUACUGCGAAGGGGGGACGGAGAAGGCUAUGUUAGCCGGGCGACGGUUGUCCCGGUUUAAGCAUGUAGGCUGGUUAUCCAGGCAAAUCCGGAUAAUCAAGGCUGAGGUGUGAUGACGAGGCACUACGGUGCUGAAGUAACAAAUGCCCUGCUUCCAGGAAAAGCCUCUAAGCAUCAGGUAACAUUAAAUCGUACCCCAAACCGACACAGGUGGUCAGGUAGAGAAUACCAAGGCGCUUGAGAGAACUCGGGUGAAGGAACUAGGCAAAAUGGUGCCGUAACUUCGGGAGAAGGCACGCUGGUGUGUAGGUGAAGUCCCUGCGGAUGGAGCUGAGACCAGUCGAAGAUACCAGCUGGCUGCAACUGUUUAUUAAAAACACAGCACUGUGCAAACACGAAAGUGGACGUAUACGGUGUGACGCCUGCCCGGUGCCGGAAGGUUAAUUGAUGGGGUUAUCCGUAAGGAGAAGCUCUUGAUCGAAGCCCCGGUAAACGGCGGCCGUAACUAUAACGGUCCUAAGGUAGCGAAAUUCCUUGUCGGGUAAGUUCCGACCUGCACGAAUGGCGUAAUGAUGGCCAGGCUGUCUCCACCCGAGACUCAGUGAAAUUGAACUCGCUGUGAAGAUGCAGUGUACCCGCGGCAAGACGGAAAGACCCCGUGAACCUUUACUAUAGCUUGACACUGAACAUUGAGCCUUGAUGUGUAGGAUAGGUGGGAGGCUUUGAAGCGUGGACGCCAGUCUGCGUGGAGCCAACCUUGAAAUACCACCCUUUAAUGUUUGAUGUUCUAACGUUGGCCCCUGACCGGGGUUGCGGACAGUGUCUGGUGGGUAGUUUGACUGGGGCGGUCUCCUCCCAAAGCGUAACGGAGGAGCACGAAGGUUAGCUAAUCCUGGUCGGACAUCAGGAGGUUAGUGCAAUGGCAUAAGCUAGCUUGACUGCGAGCGUGACGGCGCGAGCAGGUGCGAAAGCAGGUCAUAGUGAUCCGGUGGUUCUGAAUGGAAGGGCCAUCGCUCAACGGAUAAAAGGUACUCCGGGGAUAACAGGCUGAUACCGCCCAAGAGUUCAUAUCGACGGCGGUGUUUGGCACCUCGAUGUCGGCUCAUCACAUCCUGGGGCUGAAGUAGGUCCCAAGGGUAUGGCUGUUCGCCAUUUAAAGUGGUACGCGAGCUGGGUUUAGAACGUCGUGAGACAGUUCGGUCCCUAUCUGCCGUGGGCGCUGGAGAAUUGAGGGGGGCUGCUCCUAGUACGAGAGGACCGGAGUGGACGCAUCACUGGUGUUCGGGUUGUCAUGCCAAUGGCACUGCCCGGUAGCUAAAUGCGGAAGAGAUAAGUGCUGAAAGCAUCUAAGCACGAAACUUGCCCCGAGAUGAGUUCUCCCUGAGACUUUAAGUCUCCUGAAGGAACGUUGAAGACGACGACGUUGAUAGGCCGGGUGUGUAAGCGCAGCGAUGCGUUGAGCUAACCGGUACUAAUGAACCGUGAGGCUUAACCUUACAACGCCGAAG